GAUGAACGCUAGCGACAGGCCUAACACAUGCAAGUCGAGGGGCAGCACAGGAGCAAUCUGAGGUCGGCGACCGGCGCACGGGUGAGUAACACGUAUGCAACCUACCUGUAAGAGGGGAAUAACCCGUUGAAAAACGGACUAAUACCGCAUAACACUGUAGAACCGCAUGGUUUGACAGUUAAACAUUUAUGGCUUACAGAUGGGCAUGCGCAUGAUUAGCUAGUUGGUGAGGUAACGGCUCACCAAGGCAACGAUCAUUAGGGGUUCUGAGAGGAAGGUCCCCCACACUGGUACUGAGACACGGACCAGACUCCUACGGGAGGCAGCAGUGAGGAAUAUUGGUCAAUGGGCGAGAGCCUGAACCAGCCAAGUCGCGUGAAGGAUGAAGGUUUUAUGAAUUGUAAACUUCUUUUGCAGGGGAAUAAAGUGUCCGACGUGUCGGAUUUUGUAUGUACUCUGCGAAUAAGGAUCGGCUAACUCCGUG
Molecule: ribosomal RNA, 484 nt
Filed under: uncultured bacterium
Lineage: Bacteria
Description: bacterial SSU rRNA
Rfam family: Bacterial small subunit ribosomal RNA
Source: RNAcentral